GAUGAAGAACGCAGCGAAAUGCGAUAAGUAAUGUGAAUUGUAGAAUUCAGUGAAUCAUCGAAUCUUUGAACGCACAUUGCGCCCCCUGGUAUUCCGGGGGGCAUGCCUGUCCGAGCGUCAUUGCUGCCCUCAAGCACGGCUUGUGUGUUGGGCCUCCGUCCUCCUCCCGGGGGACGGGCCCGAAAGGCAGCGGCGGCACCGCGUCCGGUCCUCGAGCGUAUGGGGCUUCGUCACCCGCUCUUGUAGGCCCGGCCGGCGCUUGCCGACACAUCAAUCUUUUUUCCAGGUUGACCUCGGAUCAGGUAGGGAUACCCGCUGAACUUAAGCAUAUCAAUAAGCGGAGGA
Molecule: unclassified non-coding RNA, 345 nt
Filed under: soil metagenome
Description: partial contains 5.8S ribosomal RNA, internal transcribed spacer 2, and large subunit ribosomal RNA
Rfam family: 5.8S ribosomal RNA (bases 1-120)
Source: RNAcentral